UACGUAGGGUGCAAGCGUUAAUCGGAAUUACUGGGCGUAAAGCGUGCGCAGGCGGCUUUGCAAGACAGAUGUGAAAUCCCCGGGCUUAACCUGGGAACUGCAUUUGUGACUGCAUGGCUGGAGUGCGGCAGAGGGGGAUGGAAUUCCGCGUGUAGCAGUGAAAUGCGUAGAUAUGCGGAGGAACACCGAUGGCGAAAGCAAUCCCCUGGGCCUGCACUGACGCUCAUGCACGAAAGCGUGGGGAGCAAACAGG
This 253-nucleotide ribosomal RNA is filed under the name uncultured bacterium. RNAcentral's name for it is "partial 16S ribosomal RNA". It matches the Rfam family "Bacterial small subunit ribosomal RNA", at positions 524 to 776 of the family's 1533-position model. The record is from RNAcentral.